RNAcentral lists this unclassified non-coding RNA (386 nucleotides) under soil metagenome. Its description in RNAcentral is "partial contains 5.8S ribosomal RNA, internal transcribed spacer 2, and large subunit ribosomal RNA". The stretch from base 1 to 121 matches the Rfam family "5.8S ribosomal RNA", at positions 35 to 154 of the family's 154-position model. The record is from RNAcentral.
GAUGAAGAACGUAGCGAAUUGCGAUAAGUAAUGUGAAUUGCAGAUUUUCAGUGAAUCAUCGAAUCUUUGAACGCACCUUGCGCUCCUUGGUAUUCCGAGGAGCAUGCCUGUUUGAGUGUCAUUAAAUUCUCAACCUCACCCGUUUUCUGAACGGUUCUCCGAGGCUUGGAUGUGGGGGUUUGUGCAGGCUGCCUCAGCGCGGUCUGCUCCCCUGAAAUGCAUUAGCGAGUUCGUACUGAGCUCCGUCUAUUGGUGUGAUAAUUAUCUACGCCGUGGACAGGGUUUAGACUCGCUUCUAACCGUCCGCAAGGACAAUACCUUUGACAAUUUGACCUCAAAUCAGGUAGGACUACCCGCUGAACUUAAGCAUAUCAAUAAGCGGAGGA